UGAAAGGUUAUGUUUAUCUUAGGUUUACAC
RNAcentral lists this non-coding RNA (30 nucleotides) under Mus musculus (house mouse). The record is from RNAcentral. Lineage: Eukaryota; Metazoa; Chordata; Mammalia; Rodentia; Muridae.